UGGAGAUUUUAUAAAGUAUGGUGAUAAUUAUUAGGAAAUCAUGAAAAUAAUCCUGGCAGAAUGUGCAAAAAAUAGUGUGUUUAAAGAGUUAA
Molecule: long non-coding RNA, 92 nt
Organism: Limulus polyphemus (Atlantic horseshoe crab)
Lineage: Eukaryota; Metazoa; Arthropoda; Merostomata; Xiphosura; Limulidae
Exons: 3
Source: RefSeq, a predicted model, not a curated record